UUCGAUUCUGGCUCAGGAUGAACGCUAGCUACAGGCUUAACACAUGCAAGGUCGUGGGGCAGCAUGUUGUGUGCUUGCACACAAUGAUGGCGACCGGCGCACGGGUGAGUAACGCGUAUCCAACCUGCCCUUUAGUAGGGGAUAGCCCGGUGAAAAUCGGAUUAAUACCCUAUGUUGUGCGAAGCAGACAUCUAAUUCGUACCAAAGGCUUGCCGCUAAGGGAUGGGGAUGCGUCUGAUUAGAUGGUAGGCGGGGUAACGGCCCACCUAGUCAACGAUCAGUAGGGGUUCUGAGAGGAAGGUCCCCCCACAUUGGAACUGAGACACGGUCCAAACUCCUACGGGAGGCAGCAGUGAGGAAUAUUGGUCAAUGGGCGAGAGCCUGAACCAGCCAAGUAGCGUGCAGGAUGACGGCCCUAUGGGUUGUAAACUGCUUUUAUGCGGGGAUAACGUGCCCCACUAGUGGGGUAUUGCAGGUACCGCAUGAAUAAGGACCGGCUAAUUCCGUGCCAGCCGCCGC
This 519-nucleotide ribosomal RNA is filed under the name uncultured bacterium. Its description in RNAcentral is "bacterial SSU rRNA". It matches the Rfam family "Bacterial small subunit ribosomal RNA", at positions 12 to 518 of the family's 1533-position model. The record is from RNAcentral.